GACGUAGGGCGCGAGCGUUGUCCGGAUUUAUUGGGCGUAAAGAGCUCGUAGGCGGCUUGUUGCGUCGACCGUGAAAACCCGCGGCUUAACUGCGGGCUUGCGGUCGAUACGGGCGGGCUGGAGUUCGGUAGGGGAGACUGGAAUUUACGGUGUAGCGGUGAAAUGCGUAGAUAUCGUAAGGAAGACCAGUGGCGAAGGCGGGUCUCUGGACAGUUCCUGACGCUGAGGCACGAAGGUCGGGGGAGCAAACGGG
This 253-nucleotide ribosomal RNA is filed under the name uncultured bacterium. Its description in RNAcentral is "partial 16S ribosomal RNA". It matches the Rfam family "Bacterial small subunit ribosomal RNA", at positions 524 to 776 of the family's 1533-position model. The record is from RNAcentral.